Molecule: ribosomal RNA, 497 nt
Filed under: uncultured bacterium
Lineage: Bacteria
Description: partial 16S ribosomal RNA
Rfam family: Bacterial small subunit ribosomal RNA
Source: RNAcentral
GAUGAACGCUGGCGGCGUGCCUAAUACACGCAAGUCGAGCGAACAGACGAGGAGCUUGCUCCUCUGACGUUAGCGGCGGACGGGUGAGUAACACGUGGAUAACCUACCUAUAAGACUGGGAUAACUUCGGGAAACCGGAGCUAAUACCGGAUAAUAUAUUGAACCGCAUGGUUCAAUAGUGAAAGACGGUUUUGCUGUCACUUAUAGAUGGAUCCGCGCCGCAUUAGCUAGUUGGUAAGGUAACGGCUUACCAAGGCAACGAUGCGUAGCCGACCUGAGAGGGUGAUCGGCCACACUGGAACUGAGACACGGUCCAGACUCCUACGGGAGGCAGCAGUAGGGAAUCUUCCGCAAUGGGCGAAAGCCUGACGGAGCAACGCCGCGUGAGUGAUGAAGGUCUUCGGAUCGUAAAACUCUGUUAUUAGGGAAGGACAAAUGUGUAAGUAACUAUGCACGUCUUGACGGUACCUAAUCAGAAAGCCACGGCUAACUACGUG